This 112-nucleotide ribosomal RNA is filed under the name Caerostris darwini. The record is from RNAcentral. Lineage: Eukaryota; Metazoa; Arthropoda; Arachnida; Araneae; Araneidae.
AACGGCCGUACCAUGCUGAAUAUACCGGUUCUCGUUAGUUCACCGAAGUCAAGACUCAUUGGGCCCGGUCAGUACUUGGGUGGGUGACCACCUGGGAACACUGCGUGCCGUU